RNAcentral lists this long non-coding RNA (1109 nucleotides) under Anas platyrhynchos platyrhynchos (common mallard). RNAcentral's name for it is "lncRNA (ENSAPLG00000021418.1)". The record is from RNAcentral. Lineage: Eukaryota; Metazoa; Chordata; Aves; Anseriformes; Anatidae.
GUCCAUGAAGCUGCCGGAGCCCUGUUCUCUUGCCUGGGAGAUCCCCAGCACAGAGUGCCUGUGCCCCAUGUUAUAAAUUGCCCCCUUAAUUAAUUUUCAGAGAGCAUUGUAUUAAUCAUAGAAAUGAAUUUAUUGAGUAAGCAAACAGCAAGCAAAACAGCGCUGGGUGGCCGGGGAGUCUCGGCUCCGCCAACAGCGCGUACCUCAACCCCGCCAGGGUCCCUUUUUAUAUCUUGGUAAUUCCAGGAUUACGCAGCACAUCCUGGUAUAUUCUGCGACUGCGCGCGCUAUUGCUAGGGGGUCGUCUCUGUCCCUCUGGUGGUUGUGAAGAUGAAGGCCGUAGUCUUCCUCGGCGUUGUGGUUCAACUUCUUUUUUUUUUUUUUUUAUUUGAUCAUGUUGGCCCAGCUUGAGACAGGAAGGCAGGAUGUUGAUACACUAGGUUAGCAACUUAUCGGGAGAUAGUUACAUGAGCUUUGCAACAGUGUCAUUGAACAAAAGAGGCAACUGAGAUGCAGAAAGAGAGAAGGGGAGGGGGUUCUCUUAUUUUGUUACAUUAAGCAAAAGAAUUUUCAUAGUGUCUAGCCAAGCAUUAUACAGCUCCUUACUUCAGCAGGGAGCUUUUGCAACUCCCGCUCCUCAAACGGAACUCCUUGUUUUUAUAAUACAAAAGACAAUGAAAAAACAUUUAUGGUGUAUUACAGCCCACAGGGCCAGUCCCACUCCCCAGGCCAGCACAAGAGGUUGGUUGGAAGAGAGAAGCUUCUCUCACAAGAGAGAAGCUCCUGCCACUCUUUGACCACGAGUCCAGCCAGGUGCGGGAGCACUCCAUCUGCCUCUUCCAAGCCGUGGUGGAGGCUGUGCUGCGGCAAAGGAAGAAGAAAAUGAAGAGCACCGUGCACAGGAGCCUUCUCCCACUCUACUUUCUCAUGAGAGACCAGAGUGAGAGCGUAGCAAAGGUACAGAUCUCAGAGCUGAGCAGUUAUGUGGGCAAGGGUGUGCUGAUGCCACAGGGUUGCUCUGGGGGAUCACAGAAUUUCUAGAUUGGAAGAGACCUCAAGAUCAUCAAGUCCAGCCUCUGAUGUCUGGCUGUGAUCUCUGGGAUCUCUCU